Ananas comosus (pineapple) is the source of this 882-nucleotide long non-coding RNA. RefSeq lists it as uncharacterized. Lineage: Eukaryota; Viridiplantae; Streptophyta; Magnoliopsida; Poales; Bromeliaceae. The transcript has 3 exons. The record is from RefSeq and is a predicted model, not a curated record.
GGCCCAAUUACAAAAAAAAUAGAAAAUAGAAGAAAAGAAAAAAGCUUCUCUCUCCCUUUUCCCAUCACUCAACUCCUCAAAACCCUAGACGAAGAGUCCCUCCGAUCACCAUCUCCAUGAGCCCCUCCCACCUCUCCCUCCGCGACCCUCUCUAACUCUGCGAGACAAUGGCAUUUUACUUCAGUGGGUUGUAGCUUUAGUGGAAGUGAGGCCAAAUUUUCUCUUAGGAGAAAUUGAGAAGCUCCUUCUUGAGGAUAUAUAUCAGCUUUUUAGAAGCUUGUAGAAGACUUGUGGACAACUUCAUUUGGUGAAACGAACAAGUUCAGAUGUGAUUCGGUGGGUUUGAUCUCACCAAAAUGGGUGAACUCCCUCUAUGUCUCUAUCACGCCCCGGGGUCCCUUUUUAGUUUCAAAACACAGCGGAAGGGUCUAAAUUUUUGUUGUUGCUGGCACUGGUUGUGCCUCGUUGAUUGCGUACUUAUAGAAUUUAAAAUCCUGGGUAAAUUCUUGUACGCAAUCUAUAUUGAGCCUUGGGCGGACAGGGGAGGUCCUGUCCGUUCGGUGUCCGUCCGGCGCGCCCGAACCAUACCAAAUUGGUAGGGGUUUCGGGGCCGGGGCGUGACAUAGAUAGCUUUCAACUUAACUACUGUAAAUCAAAACUUGUAAGCCCAAAGCCUUUCAUGUAUGUAAUUAUAUUAAUCUAGAGUUGCAAUUUUAUGUAAAGUGAUUUAUAGUAGUUUUACGGUUAUUUAUAGUGCUCUGAUACCUGUUGGAUGUUAGUUUAUACUCUAAAAAUGAUUUUGUGGAUGAAUCUGGGACUAGAAUUACUUUGCUACUAUUCUGCUUUGUUGACGCUCUAUUCGGAUAAGGGAAACUCUAUCCG